This is a long non-coding RNA of Nothoprocta perdicaria, 820 nucleotides long. RefSeq lists it as uncharacterized. The transcript is spliced from 4 exons. The record is from RefSeq and is a predicted model, not a curated record. NCBI's taxonomy places the organism in Eukaryota, Metazoa, Chordata, Aves, Tinamiformes, Tinamidae.
UGUUCUGUGUCAGCGUGAGGACCUGCCCCUGGAUCUCCCAAUGAUGAGGCUGUUGCUCGUGGCCCUGCGUCAUCCUGACUGCAAACAAAGCAGUGAUUGACUUUGCCUGUGUCCUUUCUGUGCCUACAAAUGAGACAUCAGAGACUGGUGGAGCAUCUGGAUGAAACUUUCACCUUGUUUACCCAGUGCGGAUGCUGUGUGAUUCAGAAUGGCUUUGGGAGCCGGCUGCUGCAGAAACCCCUAAGGUGAGAGCGCCCAGCGUCUCGCACGGGAGCCAGCGUGUCCGAAGCAAGUCCAGAACCUCCACACGAGGACCGGGACACUCAACCAGUUGAUUGAAGGACACAACAGGAUCAUCCACAGCCCUGGGUGCCGCUGCCGGGGGGAUCCAGGCCCGCAUCUCCUGUGCUGGUGAGCACAGCCCUGCCAUCGCAGCGCUCAGCAAGGACGGUCCAUCUGCAACGCCGAUUGCCAGGAAGGGACAAGCAGGUCACUGUUGUCCUCUGGGUGUUUGAAGCCACCCUCCAUCUGCAGCUGAACGCCCAGACCACAGGGCAGGGAGCUGGACACCCCUGGCCUGCUUCCCGCCCGGCAUGGGCCGCUCCGCAGCGAUGCACGGAGAUACCAUCACAAGGUGUGGUGUCUUGAUUGGAGUCUAGCGAGAAAGUAAAACUUGUAUUCACCCACCCACCUUUGGCAGACUGUCCGAGGGUCCCUCUCGAGCUUCAGGAGCGAAGGUGGUUCAUUCACCUCCACCCAACGGUAAUGACGUGUUGCUGCCUGCUGGACGUGCCAGGCUUGGCACUGGAGAGCUAAGCCU